This 407-nucleotide ribosomal RNA is filed under the name uncultured bacterium. RNAcentral's name for it is "partial 16S ribosomal RNA". It matches the Rfam family "Bacterial small subunit ribosomal RNA", at positions 28 to 526 of the family's 1533-position model. The record is from RNAcentral.
GACGAACGCUGGCGGCGUGCCUAAUACAUGCAAGUAGGACGCAGUUGCGAACGGGUGAUUAACGCGUCGGUCACUACCUCUUAGAGGGGGAUAACUAUUGGAAACGAUAGCUCAUACCGCCUCCUAGUAGAUGGACCUGCGUUGUUUUAGCUAGGAGGUAGGGGAAUGGCCUACCUAGGCAACGAUACAUAGCCGGCUUGGGAGGGGGAUCGGACAACAUGGGACUGGGAAACGGGCCAGACUGCUACGGGAGGGAGCAGGAGGGAAGCUUCGGAAAUGGGGGGAAACCUGACCGAGCAAAGCCGGGUGAGUGAAGAAGGUUGUCGGAUCGUAAAGCUCUGUUGGUAAGGAAGCGGUACUUAACCAGAAAGGGACGGCUAACUACGUGCCAGCAGCCGCGGUAAUUC